This is a small nucleolar RNA of Impatiens glandulifera, 126 nucleotides long. The record is from RefSeq and is a predicted model, not a curated record. NCBI's taxonomy places the organism in Eukaryota, Viridiplantae, Streptophyta, Magnoliopsida, Ericales, Balsaminaceae.
UUCUCCGUGAGGAUUAAAAUUGGUUCCUCCUGAUGUAAUGGCUCGGACGCUAUAUAAGCUUUGGUAUAUCCUGAUUCAUGACUUUAAUUUUGGUGUCACUCUAUCCUGGAAACAUUUUGUACAUAU